Salvia splendens (bonfire salvia) is the source of this 3434-nucleotide long non-coding RNA. RefSeq lists it as uncharacterized. Lineage: Eukaryota; Viridiplantae; Streptophyta; Magnoliopsida; Lamiales; Lamiaceae. The record is from RefSeq and is a predicted model, not a curated record. The transcript is spliced from 2 exons.
CCUUCCCCUUUUCAAGAUGCCAUCACAGCCGUCCGAUUAUUCCACCAAUUGUACAUGUUACAAUUCGCCAGUCAACAUUACGACGCCGUUGAUCGAUCCUGCCGUUGAGAAUAUAUCCCACCCACUCAUUUUCAGCUGUUGGAUCAUUAAUCCCUACAAUAAAUAUACCUUUCCUUUAUCAUUUCAUUUCCCAGCCGCCUCGGUCACCUAGCUCGUGACCUCUUUCUUCACGCCGGAUUGGUGACUUCUUCCUUUUUUCCGUCAGAUUCAUUCAGAUCGCGAGGCGAUCUACGUUUUGGUUAUGGAAUUUCCGAGUUUUGUUAUGUUGUUGAUUUUUCUUCGCUUGAUAGAUUGGUCUCCUGGUUGUUAUGCUGUCUGCGGCUGUGAAACGCCGAAGUUUGGCUAGAUCUGCAAAAGUGUUGGACGGAUGUCACGGAUCGUCAAAGGUAUCUUGUAGAUCUGUGUUCUUAUUGCAGAUUUGAAUUUUUAACGCAUGGCGAUUGGAUUGGAAACAUCAGUGUCUGUGGAUCUGGAAACACGGAGACAUCUUGAGAAGACACGAUUAUUUGACGGAGGACGUUCACAGUUAUGGCUUCGUUGUGGUUUUGUCUAUGAAUCCGAGGCUCUGGUGGACCGGCCGAGUGAUUUAAGGGAAGUUAAUUUUUUUAUGCUGUGUUAUUUGAUGUGUUAUUCUGUCUGUGUAGACUCGACGAAUUGUUGAGGCAUCAGACUGUAAAAAACUAAAAAAUGAGUGAGCUAUGUGAAAAGUGAGGUGAGGAGUGGUUGUCUGCAUGACCUUUGCCAUGAUGGGUGCGCUCGCAUGGCAGGUCGCCCGUUAAUGAAAAUUUCUAUUUUUUGGUUUCGAGGGGAGAUGGUACGGGGAUUUGCCCGGCUCUCCCCCUGUGUCUGGUGUCCUCUGGUGUCCUCGUCUCUCUCCAUCUGCUCAUCUUUUGCGUAUUCAAUCUUUAUAAUGCAUGCAUGCUAAUUUCAAAUCCAGCAAUUUGGUCUUGAAUCGGGAUGUGAACCAUUUAAUGCAAAAUAUAACGCAUUCAAGACCGAAACGUCUCCAUUAUUUGAAAGUGAAAUAUUGGGAUCGAUCAAUUUGAGGCUGCAAUCUGCUAUUCAGCAUUCACUACUACAGAGGUACCAAUUUGCACUUUCUCCGUAUCUACUUAUCUUGUUCACUUGCAAAGCUUUACAUUCUUAAUACUUAAAUUACUUCUAACUUUUUGUUGGUUUACUGGCUCAAAUUAUCUUUUGUCGUUGCAAAAAUAGGGUUUACUGUGAGGUCUGUUUGCGUCUUACUAUCUUUUAAUAACUACAGAUAAACUCCUGAAAAAAUAAUACAGUUAGAGCUAUAUCAAUUUCAAAAUACCUUUGAUUCACUUUUUUGGGAAUAACCCGAUGCCAUAACCUAUUCCUGCUAUGUCCAUAUCUUGACUAAAUUAAAACGUGCCAUCUUCCCCCUUAUAUGAAUUGAAUCAUAACAUGGUUAAUUGCUAGUAUUUUUAACACUGGCUACAAAAUAUGAUCUCCACACAAUUUUAAUUGAUAGCUAACUAUCCAUUCCCGUACAUCAUUACUUUUUAACUAGUUCACAAGCUAUCAAAAUCUCACUGUACAAUGCGUCUUUUAAUCUCACUGUACAAUGCAUCUUUUAUAGUACCUUUGCACUUUGUUUAUUCUUCUCUGUAAAGUAAUACCAUAUCUGGUUUGUUGGUUUUUCCCUCUGUCGAGGUUACUAGCUAAUGAUUUAAGAUUAUUAAUGUAUUACGGUUUAAAUUCAUCUGCAUCUGAAUGGUUGUAGGGUCUGUAGUGUAGUUUAAAGCUGUAGCUUGGUUGUAAUAGAUCAGCUAUUCAGUAUAUGGUUUGUUGCUCACUGAAUUUGGAGCAGUACCUGGUAUGGUGGUUUCUAAUUGAGCCAGUCCAGUUUACAUGAGGAGUUGCUAUUAUUAUGGUGGCUGUGUCUGUUUAUUGGAUACUUGGUAUGUAUGUUGGAUUUACUGCUGCUGCGUUGCUGUACUUCUGUGGUUUCGGCUGCUGCUGCUUUUGCUUUGGAGCUUCUGGUGAUCGUUCUCAUAAUUGUUGGUGCUUAUCUGUCAAUGAUUCUUCAGUUGCUCGUAUGCGCAUAUGCUUCGUCUGUCUCUCCAAGUGUAGUUGAAGAUAAUUGUCAAUAAUAGCAUGAAUUGCGAUAGCGAUGUACAUCGGCGAGUCACAUUAUCCUGGUGGCGAGACCCAGUUUUGAGGCGGCGUUGGGAACCAAUUCCCCGGUGGGUACCCUCCAUUUCUCGUUGGGUAUCGGCUGUACCCUCCGUACCAAGGAGGCAGGUACCCAGCUAUGUCGGUGCUAGUGGACCACUGAACCACCCAUCGAUGUUCGGGGACAAUGUCUAUCGGCCCAACAUGGAUGGGUUGGCCGAUCGCGCGGAUGAUCCCGCUUUGGCGGCCAUUUAGUUUUUCAGCAUCGACUGGUUCACGUUCGGACUUAGAUAUUUCUAUGUAUAGAGAGGAGAAUCCUCGACCGAAGAGAGAUGGUGGGGUUCCCGGCGGGGAAGGGAUUUGUCGGCAAGCUGUCUCAAUCUGAGUGUAGAUCUAAGAGGACGAACUACGCUCCGGCUGAGUCAAUUGUUGUUGCUAGGUGUUGGGUCGAUAUGUCAGAGACAAAAUUAUGUCGGAUAUGCAAACACAACAAGGGUCAUAGGAUGCAUAUUGCGGAUAGAUACCAAACAAUGAAGCUAGCAGGUACGAAGUAUCACAACGGGGGCAAGCUCUGCAAACAUUUUGAUUGGAUGAAGGCCGACGUCGCCAAAUUCAACGACAUCUACGGGAGCAACCUUCAGACGAUUAUGAGCGAAAAGAGUAUGGACGACGUGAAAGAAUUGUCAAUAUGGGAGUUCUCCCACAAUGCCCGUUCAAGUAUUGGGAUGUCUGGCAAAUCUUGACGGAGCCUCCCAAAUUCCAAGAGGGGUUAGAGCCAAAUGCCCCGAACGUCUCUGUCACCUACAACAGCAGCACCGGCGGUAAAUCCAACGAUAUCAACGAAGAUGCUGAUCCUUUUCCUUUGCCUCUUACCCAGAGGCGUCCGAUUGGCAUGAAAACAAUCAAUCGGAAGGGGAAGACAACGGCCAACAGGUUCUCAGAAGUUCAAUCAUGAUUGGGCGCUACAAAUUUGAUCCAAAGUUUCAUGAUCCUGUAGAAUGGUUUUCUAUGUUUUUUUUCUCCAGUUUAUUUCAUUUUUGUUAUUUUAAUAUUUGAUAAACACCAACAAUUAAAAUGAAUUAUAAAGAGAUAGUGAGAUAGAUUGUGAGAUAGGCUGAGAAUGGGUUGUGAUGGGCUGAGAUGGACUGUGAGAUAUGCAGUUGAAUGUGGCAAGAGGAAAAUGGAGUUGGACUAUUCAUAUUUUGAAUUCUCUUAAACUAACUUUUCUUUUUAUC